AGUGGCGAACGGGUGAGUAACACGUGAGUAACCUGCCCUUAACUCUGGGAUAAGCCUGGGAAACUGGGUCUAAUACCGGAUAUGACUCCUCAUCGCAUGGUGGGGGGUGGAAAGCUUUAUUGUGGUUUUGGAUGGACUCGCGGCCUAUCAGCUUGUUGGUGAGGUAAUGGCUCACCAAGGCGACGACGGGUAGCCGGCCUGAGAGGGUGACCGGCCACACUGGGACUGAGACACGGCCCAGACUCCUACGGGAGGCAGCAGUGGGGAAUAUUGCACAAUGGGCGCAAGCCUGAUGCAGCGACGCCGCGUGAGGGAUGACGGCCUUCGGGUUGUAAACCUCUUUCAGUAGGGAAGAAGCGAAAGUGACGGUACCUGCAGAAGAAGCGCCGGCUAACUACGUGCCAGCAGCCGCGGUAAUACGUAGGGCGCAAGCGUUAUCCGGAAUUAUUGGGCGUAAAGAGCUCGUAGGCGGUUUGUCGCGUCUGCCGUGAAAGUCCGGGGCUCAACUCCGGAUCUGCGGUGGGUACGGGCAGACUAGAGUGAUGUAGGGGAGACUGGAAUUCCUGGUGUAGCGGUGAAAUGCGCAGAUAUCAGGAGGAACACCGAUGGCGAAGGCAGGUCUCUGGGCAUUAACUGACGCUGAGGAGCGAAAGCAUGGGGAGCGAACAGGAUUAGAUACCCU
RNAcentral lists this ribosomal RNA (682 nucleotides) under Arthrobacter oryzae. Its description in RNAcentral is "bacterial SSU rRNA". It matches the Rfam family "Bacterial small subunit ribosomal RNA", at positions 94 to 788 of the family's 1533-position model. Lineage: Bacteria; Bacillati; Actinomycetota; Actinomycetes; Micrococcales; Micrococcaceae. The record is from RNAcentral.